RNAcentral lists this ribosomal RNA (246 nucleotides) under uncultured bacterium. Its description in RNAcentral is "partial 16S ribosomal RNA". It matches the Rfam family "Bacterial small subunit ribosomal RNA", at positions 527 to 772 of the family's 1533-position model. The record is from RNAcentral.
GGAGGGUACAAGCGUUAUCCGGAUUCACUGGGUUUAAAGGGUGCGUAGGCGGGCAUGUAAGUCAGUGGUGAAAUCCCCGAGCUUAACUUGGGAACUGCCGUUGAUACUAUGUGUCUUGAAUAUCGUGGAGGUAAGCGGAAUAUGUCAUGUAGCGGUGAAAUGCUUAGAUAUGACAUAGAACACCGAUUGCGAAGGCAGCUUACUACGCGAUCAUUGACGCUGAGGCACGAAAGCGUGGGGAGCAAA